UUAAGCCCAAGUUCUGUAUUUAGAGCUAUGAUUGGACAUGUUUCUGAGCGAAAAGCUCAUGAAACUAGAAGUAUUACAAUAUAACCAAAAGUGUUUGUAAGAAGUAAUUUCUUCUCAAAUGUAUUGCUAUCCCAAAACACUGUCAAUAUAUGUUACAUUACCAUAAGUCAAAGCCUUGUAUUCAAAUGUUCGAAUACUCACUUAUCCUGCGGGCGAAGAAAUAGGUUUUUGCCUCAAUUAGAGCAAAUAUUUGUCCUAAGAAUAUCAACUAGCCACACUAUUAUAUCGGGGUUUUCUUGUUUACGGAUAGCAGAGGAGCAGUAUUCCUUUAUCAGAAGUGGUGAAGCCUUUUCAAAAAGUUUUGAUUAUAUCUGCCGUUCAUGGAUAUAGUUCAAUUGGAGCAUUUGGAUGUAUGCUUGCUUAAACUAGUAGACAUUCUGAAUAUGAGCUUGUCUUUUUCAGGGUUUGAAGUCAUUAUACGAUCAGCAAUGCCUCACAGAAGUCGGCCUAUGAGAGCACUUCUACUGUUUACCGGACUUAUAACCUGUUUGGCCAAACUUCUUUUUGGCCGAAAGUAAUUUUUUUUUUUGCCAAAAAAAUUGAGGCGUUUAGCCAAGCUUUUGGAAGGAAAAAAAAUGCUUUUGAGGAGAAGCAGAAGCAGAAAAAAGUAGUUUCUCUCCAAAAACACUUUUUUGAGAAGCAUUUUUGAGAAAAAUACACUUAGAAACAGUUUUUUAAAGCUUGGCCAAACACUAAUUGCUGCUCAGUGUUUUUCAUACUAAUUAGCCAAACACAAACUACUGCUUCUCACCAAAAGUACUUUUAAGAAAAACACUUUUGAAAAAAAGCACUUCUCAAAAUAAGCUGAUUUUUGCAGCUUGGCCAAACAGGCUAUUAACGUUGUUUUGGUCUCAACAAUAACUCCUGUCUAUGAUUUUGUAUGCUUCCAUCCUUAUUGGGAAAGAAGAGUAAGGCACCUCUUUUCCUUGUAUCCGUAUAAACUUGAAAAAUUAUUCUUUCUUUCAGCACUCAAUGGCUUAUUUACAUCUUUUAUACUUCAUUCUUGACUGUGCAUCUUCCUGCCAUGAUAUUUUACCUGAUGAGAAAUACAUUAUAAAACACAUAAAACUUGUAGUGGUUAUGCUUGUUUAAAUGAAACUUACAGUUAUCACCAGCAUUGGCCAUAUUGUUGUGGCUUAAUUUAACGGGUUAUAUAGUUAUUGGUUACUCAGAGAUCUUGCUGUGUUUAGGCCAUCACUAUUCAGUAGGGGUGUUUCUAUUUCCUGUUAAAAGUGGACUUGAAGUGGAAUUGAAUUUUUCUCAACUUUUCCGUAACCAAUUGUACGUUCAGUAUAGUCUUUUUCUCCCUCUUGUUUUGUGACACUGCAUGGUAACUGGUAACUUACUUCCGUCAUCUAUGACAGAGAGAAUGUCAGCAUCAGGAACAUGAAGCAGCGUUGAGAGGUUAAGCAUCUGUAUUAUCGAGGUUGGGGAUUAUGUUUAGCCGGUCUUUAGUUUAAAUUGGUCACAAGACAAAACGAACUUAUAGAGGAUGUUGGAGACCUAAUUUGCUUCUGGUUUUAUUGUGUACCCUUGAGUUUCCUUGGUAUUUAUUUAGAGUAAAAUCAAGCUGUGUACAAGUAUUAAGAAUUGCAAUCGGAAGGAAAGAAAUACAAAGAUGAUAUUAGCUGACCUUUUCUUUUCAAAGAGACUUGUGUUAGAGAUUGUUUGAGGAACCUCUGUUACUCCCUCUCCGUUGGUGAUUCUUUGGCUGUCAAACCCUGGAUUUGGGUGUAAUAAGAGUAGCUGAAGAAGCCUGCAUUGCUUGUUGCGGUACCACCAUAUCUAGAGAAUGACGCUAAAACUUUUCAACAUCAAUCUAUAAAGAGUAGUGUUCUUGUGCUUUAUGUGAUAAUGCAGCACCAUUGCUCACUUCUUGUCACUUAUUUAAGUGGUCACACAAGAGAUUGGAGGAUUUUGUUUCUUUUAGUAUAGC
RNAcentral lists this long non-coding RNA (1996 nucleotides) under Nicotiana tabacum (common tobacco). Its description in RNAcentral is "long non-coding RNA (NTAB_LNC007252)". Lineage: Eukaryota; Viridiplantae; Streptophyta; Magnoliopsida; Solanales; Solanaceae. The record is from RNAcentral.